CGUAGGGUGCGAGCGUUAAUCGGAAUUACUGGGCGUAAAGCGUGCGCAGGCGGUUAUAUAAGACAGAUGUGAAAUCCCCGGGCUCAACCUGGGAACUGCAUUUGUGACUGUAUAGCUAGAGUACGGCAGAGGGGGAUGGAAUUCCGCGUGUAGCAGUGAAAUGCGUAGAUAUGCGGAGGAACACCGAUGGCGAAGGCAAUCCCCUGGGCCUGUACUGACGCUCAUGCACGAAAGCGUGGGGAGCAAACAGGAUUAGAUACCCUGGUAGUCCACGCCCUAAACGAUGUCAACUGGUUGUUGGGUCUUCACUGACUCAGUAACGAAGCUAACGCGUGAAGUUGACCGCCUGGGAGUACGGCCGCAAGGUUG
RNAcentral lists this ribosomal RNA (369 nucleotides) under uncultured organism. Its description in RNAcentral is "bacterial SSU rRNA". It matches the Rfam family "Bacterial small subunit ribosomal RNA", at positions 526 to 896 of the family's 1533-position model. The record is from RNAcentral.